UACGUAGGGGGCGAGCGUUGUCCGGAAUCAUUGGGCGUAAAGGGUUCGUAGGCGGUCUGAUAAGUCAGAUGUGAAAAGAUGUGGCUUAACCAUGUUAAGCAUUUGAAACUGUCAGCCUUGAGUGAAGGAGAGGUAAGUGGAAUUCCUAGUGUAGCGGUGAAAUGCGUAGAUAUUAGGAGGAAUACCAGUAGCGAAGGCGACUUACUGGCCUUUAACUGACGCUGAGGAACGAAAGCGUGGGUAGCAAACAGG
This 252-nucleotide ribosomal RNA is filed under the name uncultured bacterium. Its description in RNAcentral is "partial 16S ribosomal RNA". It matches the Rfam family "Bacterial small subunit ribosomal RNA", at positions 524 to 776 of the family's 1533-position model. The record is from RNAcentral.